GAACGCUUCUUUCCUCCCGAGUGCUUGCACUCAAUUGGAAAGAGGAGUGGCGGACGGGUGAGUAACACGUGGGUAACCUACCCAUCAGAGGGGGAUAACACUUGGAAACAGGUGCUAAUACCGCAUAACAGUUUAUGCCGCAUGGCAUAAGAGUAAAAGGCGCUUUCGGGUGUCGCUGAUGGAUGGACCCGCGGUGCAUUAGCUAGUUGGUGAGGUAACGGCUCACCAAGGCCACGAUGCAUAGCCGACCUGAGAGGGUGAUCGGCCACACUGGGACUGAGACACGGCCCAGACUCCUACGGGAGGCAGCAGUAGGGAAUCUUCGGCAAUGGACGAAAGUCUGACCGAGCAACGCCGCGUGAGUGAAGAAGGUUUUCGGAUCGUAAAACUCUGUUGUUAGAGAAGAACAAGGACGUUAGUAACUGAACGUCCCCUGACGGUAUCUAACCAGAAAGUCACGGCUAACUACGUGCCAGCAGCCGCGGUAAUACGUAGGUGGCAAGCGUUGUCCGGAUUUAUUGGGCGUAAGCGAGCGCAGGCGGUUUCUUAAGUCUGAUGUGAAAGCCCCCGGCUCAACCGGGGAGGGUCAUUGGAAACUGGGAGACUUGAGUGCAGAAGAGGAGAGUGGAAUUCCAUGUGUAGCGGUGAAAUGCGUAGAUAUAUGGAGGAACACCAGUGGCGAAGGCGGCUC
Molecule: ribosomal RNA, 691 nt
Filed under: uncultured Bacilli bacterium
Lineage: Bacteria; Bacillati; Bacillota; Bacilli
Description: bacterial SSU rRNA
Rfam family: Bacterial small subunit ribosomal RNA
Source: RNAcentral